This 395-nucleotide ribosomal RNA is filed under the name uncultured bacterium. Its description in RNAcentral is "partial 16S ribosomal RNA". It matches the Rfam family "Bacterial small subunit ribosomal RNA", at positions 360 to 773 of the family's 1533-position model. The record is from RNAcentral.
AAUAUUGCACAAUGGGGGAAACCCUGAUGCAGCGACGCCGCGUGAGCGAAGAAGGCCUUCGGGUCGUAAAGCUCUGUCCUAAGGGAAGAAACGGACGGUACCUUAGGAGGAAGCCCCGGCUAACUACGUGCCAGCAGCCGCGGUAAUACGUAGGGGGCGUGUGUUAUCCGGAAUUAGUGGGCGUAACGGGUGCGUAUGUGGCUUUUUAAGUCAGAUGUGAAAGUCUACGGCUUAACCUUAGUUAGCAUUUGAAACUAAAAGGCUUGAGUGCAGGAGAGGUGAGUGGAAUUCCUAGUGUAGCGGUGAAAUGCGUAGAUAUUAGGAGGACCGCCAGUGGCAAAGGCGACUCUCUGGACUGCAACUGACGCUGAGGCACGAAAGCGUGGGGAGCGAAC